RNAcentral lists this long non-coding RNA (241 nucleotides) under Ananas comosus (pineapple). RNAcentral describes it as "long non-coding RNA (ACOM_LNC002551)". The record is from RNAcentral. Lineage: Eukaryota; Viridiplantae; Streptophyta; Magnoliopsida; Poales; Bromeliaceae.
AUGAGGUCCACAGGGAAAAAUUCUACAAUGCAAGGGGUAUAUUGGUGAAGUGGCGUAACAGGCCAAUCAAAUGUCUCCUUUUUUGAAUAUAUGUCCCAUUAUGAUUGUAAAAAAAUAUUUUUAUUGUACUUUUGUUUGCAGAGAAUAAAUGUGAUUGACUUGUUAUUAAUGACGUGGUGUAAGUGUGACAGUGUAGAAUUCCUCGUCCACAGGGGUAUAAUGUGGGCCGCUGUCGGGCAAG